RNAcentral lists this ribosomal RNA (355 nucleotides) under Eukaryota sp. Its description in RNAcentral is "SSU rRNA". It matches the Rfam family "Eukaryotic small subunit ribosomal RNA", at positions 1324 to 1700 of the family's 1831-position model. The record is from RNAcentral.
UGCGUUAACGAACGAGACCUUAACCUGCUAAAUAGUCCGGCCGGCUUUUGCUGGUCGCUGACUUCUUAGAGGGACUAACAGCGCUUAGCUGUUGGAAGUUUGAGGCAAUAACAGGUCUGUGAUGCCCUUAGAUAUUCUGGGCCGCACGCGCGCUACACUGACAGAGCCAACGAGUUCAUCACCUUGGCCGGAAGGUCUGGGUAAUCUUGUUAAACUCUGUCGUGCUGGGGAUAGAGCAUUGCAAUUAUUGCUCUUCAACGAGGAAUGCCUAGUAAGCGCGUAUCAUCAGUACGCGUUGAUUACGUCCCUGCCCUUUGUACGCACCGCCCGUCGCUAAUACCGAUUGAAUGGAUCC